GAUGAACGAUGGCGGCGUGCUUAAGAAAUGCAAGUCGAACGGUGAACACGGAGCUUGCUCUGUGGGAUCAGUGGCGAACGGGUGAGUAACACGUGAGCAACCUGCGCCUGACUCUGGGAUAAGCGCUGGAAACGGCGUCUAAUACUGGAUACGAGUAGCGGCCGCAUGGUCAGUUACUGGAAAGAUUCUUUGGUUGGGGAUGGGCUCGCGGCCUAUCAGCUUGUUGGUGAGGUAAUGGCUCACCAAGGCGUCGACGUGUAGCCGGCCUGAGAGGGUGACCGGCCACACUGGGACUGAGACACGGCCCAGACUCCUACGGGAGGCAGCAGUGGGGAAUAUUGCACAAUGGGCGAAAGCCUGAUGCAGCAACGCCGCGUGAGGGAUGACGGCCUUCGGGUUGUAGACCUCUUUUAGCAGGGAAGAAGCGUAAGUGACGGUACCUGCAGAAAAAGCGCCGGCUAACUACGUGCCAGCCGCCGCCGUAA
RNAcentral lists this ribosomal RNA (485 nucleotides) under uncultured bacterium. RNAcentral's name for it is "partial 16S ribosomal RNA". It matches the Rfam family "Bacterial small subunit ribosomal RNA", at positions 28 to 523 of the family's 1533-position model. The record is from RNAcentral.